CUUGUUCUGGAAUCUGGAAGCUCUCUCUCCCUCCACCCACCAUCUCUACACCUUGGUAGAAGAAUCCUAGACUUCUUUUGCUCUCCAUCCUACCUCCCCAAGCUGUGUGGUAAAGGCUAGCUCAGUACUUGAUAAAUUGAUCUUAAACUGAACUUUUGCUUUGGUAUUGACCCUGUGAUUCCUUGUUGCCCUCCUUUAGCUCUUAGCCAACAGCUGAGCUAAUAUGACUGAUUUCUCUUGGGGCCAGUGGAGAAACUGGACACCUAUCUCCAUUUUCCAUGCUGAUAUCAUUCACUUUCAUCUCAGGCUAGUUCAUGCUGCUGCCCUAGAUGCAAACGUAUAAUGUGAAACAGCAAAUAGCUGAGCCAAGGAUGGUAUAGAAAUGUAAUGGAAUACCAUUGUGCUGUAAGAAAUGAUGAAAUAGUCAUCUCUGGAGAAACCUAGGAAGACUUGUCUGAACUGAUAUAGUGUGAAGUAAGCAGAACCAAGAGAACAAUUUAUACAAUAAUAGCAACAUUGUAAAAGAGAACUUUUAAAGUCUUAAAAUUUUCAUCAGUGCAAUCAAUUACCAUGAUUCUGGAGGACUGAUGGUGAAGAAUGCUGCCCAUCUCCUGACAGAGAAAUGUUAGACUAAUGUGCAGAAUGAGACACAAAUUUCUGGAUGUGGCCAAUAUAUAGGAGUUGGUUUUGCUUGAUUAUUUUUUCCCCCUUCCAAUUCAGGGGGUGAGACCCAUCAAUGGGAAGAGGGGACAUCCUAAGCCUCCAUCCCGGAGAAGAAACUCAUAUCCUUUAUGCUGGAGGGCUCCACUUUGUCUUCUGGAAGUAUUAUUGAGUGGCUCCCUUCACUUACUUCCUGCUAACCUGGUUGGCAUGAACCUCUGAAAGGCAUGCAUGUAAAUCGUUUUCAGGGAUCCAAAAUGUGGAAGAAGAACAAGAGAAUGACACAGAAAAGAAGAAGGAGGAUGAAAAUGAAGAAGAGGAGAUGGAAGAAGAUAAAGAGGAGCAGGAAGAAGAGGAAAAGAAAAAGGAAGAAGAGGAGGAAGAGAGAGAAAGUAGAGCAAAAUGAGGAGGAAGAGGAAGAAAAGGAAGAAGACGAGGAGGGGGAAGAAGAACAAGAUGAAGAAGAGGAGGAGGAGGUGGAAAAAGAAGAAGAAGGAGAAGAGGAGGAGGAAGAGGAGGAGGAGGAAGAAGAAGAAGCAGAAAAAGAGAAAGAGGAAGGGGGAGGUAUCCAGCAGAAGGAAGAGUCAGCUUCUUUUUUCCCAAAACUUAUCUGCAAGGAUGACUUAACCCAUCCAUCCAGUUGGAUAUCUACCCUACUUUAAAAAGUGCUUCAGUAAAAGAUCUCACAAUAUUUAUUUGUUGAUCUGUGCCAUCAUCUAAUAACUCGUUUGGGUUAAAAACAGUUUGGUAUUCCUUAAGUAGUCUUAAUUCUCUUCCAAGGUUAAUUAAACCCAUUUACCUCCUUAAGGACAGGAGAGAAUAAUCCUCAUCCUUCUCAAGCCUGUCCUUAAUAAGCUUAAAAAGAGACAUCACCCAACAUUCUUCUCAGAAUUCCAUUUUUGUAUCCUAUGUCAUGUAUAUUAUUUUCUGCAUUUCUUCAGGGUUCCCCACAUCUUAUUUUUUUGGUACUAAAUUAAAAAGACAAUUAUUUAUUAUUUAGUGGGGAAUUAUUUACUGGUUCCUAAUUUAGAACUAGAAGGAACCUCAGAGGCCAAUCUAAUCUAAACCCCUUAUUUUACAGUUGUGAAAACUGAGGCCUAGGAGGUGAAGUGACUCUACUUUGAGAAGCAAGAUUCAAACCCAGGUUGAUUGAUUACAAAACCAGUGCUUUCUAAAAAUAUAUUAUGCUGGUUGUCAGGAAAACACUGUACACAGUAACAGCAAUAUUGCAGAAUGAUCAAUUGUGAUAGUCUUAGCUGCUCUCAGCAAGACAAUGAUCCUGGACAAUUCUGAG
Molecule: long non-coding RNA, 1954 nt
Filed under: Monodelphis domestica (gray short-tailed opossum)
Lineage: Eukaryota; Metazoa; Chordata; Mammalia; Didelphimorphia; Didelphidae
Description: lncRNA (ENSMODG00000027900.2)
Source: RNAcentral